ACGCUGGCGGCGUGCCUAAUACAUGCAAGUAGAACGCUGAAGGAGGAGCUUGCUUCUCUGGAUGAGUUGCGAACGGGUGAGUAACGCGUAGGUAACCUGCCUGGUAGCGGGGGAUAACUAUUGGAAACGAUAGCUAAUACCGCAUAAUAGUAGAUGUUGCAUGACAUUUGCUUAAAAGGUGCAAUUGCAUCACUACCAGAUGGACCUGCGUUGUAUUAGCUAGUUGGUGGGGUAACGGCUCACCAAGGCGACGAUACAUAGCCGACCUGAGAGGGUGAUCGGCCACACUGGGACCGAGACACGGCCCAGACUCCUACGGGAGGCAGCAGUAGGGAAUCUUCGGCAAUGGACGGAAGUCUGACCGAGCAACGCCGCGUGAGUGAAGAAGGUUUUCGGAUCGUAAAGCUCUGUUGUAAGAGAAGAACGAGUGUGAGAGUGGAAAGUUCACACUGUGACGGUAUCUUACCAGAAAGGGACGGCUAACUACGUGCCAGCAGCCGCGGUAAUACGUAGGUCCCGAGCGUUGUCCGGAUUUAUUGGGCGUAAAGCGAGCGCAGGCGGUUAGAUAAGUCUGAAGUUAAAGGCUGUGGCUUAACCAUAGUACGCUUUGGAAACUGUUUAACUUGAGUGCAAGAGGGGAGAGUGGAAUUCCAUGUGUAGCGGUGAAAUGCGUAGAUAUAUGGAGGAACACCGGUGGCGAAAGCGGCUCUCUGGCUUGUAACUGACGCUGAGGCUCGAAAGCGUGGGGAGCAAACAGGAUUAGAUACCCUGGUAGUCCACGCCGUAAACGAUGAGUGCUAGGUGUUAGACCCUUUCCGGGGUUUAGUGCCGCAGCUAACGCAUUAAGCACUCCGCCUGGGGAGUACGACCGCAAGGUUGAAACUCAAAGGAAUUGACGGGGGCCCGCACA
This 910-nucleotide ribosomal RNA is filed under the name uncultured bacterium. RNAcentral's name for it is "bacterial SSU rRNA". It matches the Rfam family "Bacterial small subunit ribosomal RNA", at positions 33 to 927 of the family's 1533-position model. The record is from RNAcentral.